GGGGAGGCGUACACAGGUGCUGCAUGGCUCGUCGUCAGCUCGUGUCGUGAGAUGUUGGUUAAGUCCCGCAACGAGCGCAACCCCUGCUGCCAGUGCCAACGGGUAAUGCCGGGCACUCUGGCGGGACUGCCAUCGACAAGAUGGAGGAAGGUGGGGAUGACGUCAAGUCAUCAUGGCCCUUAUGUCCAGGGCGACACACGUGCUACAAUGGUCGGCACAGCGGGAAGCGAGGCAGUGAUGCCGAGCGGAUCCCUUAAAGCCGGUCUCAGUUCGGAUUGAAGUCUGCAACUCGACUUCAUGAAGCUGGAAUCGCUAGUAAUCGCAGAUCAGCCAAGCUGCGGUGAAUACGUUCCCGGGCCUU
Molecule: ribosomal RNA, 361 nt
Filed under: uncultured Synergistaceae bacterium
Lineage: Bacteria; Thermotogati; Synergistota; Synergistia; Synergistales; Synergistaceae
Description: bacterial SSU rRNA
Rfam family: Bacterial small subunit ribosomal RNA
Source: RNAcentral